This 463-nucleotide ribosomal RNA is filed under the name uncultured bacterium. Its description in RNAcentral is "bacterial SSU rRNA". It matches the Rfam family "Bacterial small subunit ribosomal RNA", at positions 67 to 510 of the family's 1533-position model. The record is from RNAcentral.
CCCCAAUCUUGAGGAGCUUGCUCCUUAAGGUUAGCGGCGGACGGGUGAGUAACACGUGGGCAACCUGCCUGUAAGACUGGGAUAACACCGGGAAACCGGUGCUAAUACCGGAUAAUUCUUCACCUCUCAUGAGGUGAAGCUGAAAGUCGGUUUCGGCUGACACUUACAGAUGGGCCCGCGGCGCAUUAGCUAGUNGAGUGAGGUAACGGCUCACCAAGGCGACGAUGCGUAGCCGACCUGAGAGGGUGAUCGGCCACACUGGGACUGAGACACGGCCCAGACUCCUACGGGAGGCAGCAGUAGGGAAUCUUCCGCAAUGGACGAAAGUCUGACGGAGCAACGCCGCGUGAGUGAUGAAGGCCUUCGGGUCGUAAAACUCUGUUGUUAGGGAAGAACAAGUACCGGAGUAACUGCCGGUGCCUUGACGGUACCUAACCAGAAAGCCACGGCUAACUACGUGCCA